Trematomus bernacchii (emerald rockcod) is the source of this 176-nucleotide long non-coding RNA. RefSeq lists it as uncharacterized. NCBI's taxonomy places the organism in Eukaryota, Metazoa, Chordata, Actinopteri, Perciformes, Nototheniidae. The record is from RefSeq and is a predicted model, not a curated record. The transcript is spliced from 3 exons.
AAAGGCCGAGCCGGAUGGUUGCUGCUCCAUGUGGAACGUGUUCUAUCAGGUGUAACAUCUACCAAUGUUUGUACAUAGACCUCCUCCACCUCUUUGCUGUCCUACUAGUCAACCCUCCUGCUCAGAGCCUUUCCUAAAUAGUGAAAGGAUCAUGCCAGCCCACAUCAAACACCUGA